CCCUUUGAUACUCUGGGCCGCACGCGCGCUACACUGAUGCAUUCAACGAGUUUCUUCCUGGUCCGAGAGGAAUGGGUAACCUUUUGAAAGUGCAUCGUGAUAGGGAUAGACUAUUGCAAUUAUUGGUCUUCAACGAGGAAUUCCUAGUAGACGUAGUUCAUCAGACUGCAUCGAUUACGUCCCUGCCCUUUGUACACACCGCCCGUCGCUCCUACCGAUUGAAUGCUCAGGUGAGCCAUUCGGACUUUCAUCAUGCUGGUUUCCAGUUUUGAUGAAGGAAAGUCUUGCGAACCUUAUCAUUUAGAGGAAGGAGAAGUCGUAACA
RNAcentral lists this ribosomal RNA (324 nucleotides) under uncultured eukaryote. RNAcentral's name for it is "partial 18S ribosomal RNA". It matches the Rfam family "Eukaryotic small subunit ribosomal RNA", at positions 1470 to 1796 of the family's 1831-position model. The record is from RNAcentral.